RNAcentral lists this ribosomal RNA (459 nucleotides) under uncultured bacterium. RNAcentral describes it as "partial 16S ribosomal RNA". It matches the Rfam family "Bacterial small subunit ribosomal RNA", at positions 338 to 795 of the family's 1533-position model. The record is from RNAcentral.
CCUACGGGCGGCAGCAGUGAGGAAUAUUGGUCAAUGGGCGCGAGCCUGAACCAGCCAAGUAGCGUGAAGGAUGACUGCCCUACGGGUUGUAAACUUCUUUUAUAAAGGAAUAAAGUGAGGCACGUGUGCCUUUUUGUAUGUCCUUUAUGAAAAAGCAUCGGCAAACUCCGUGCCAGCAGCCGCGGUAAUACGGGGGAUGCGAGGGUUAUCCGGAUUUAUUGGGUUUAAGGGGUGCGUAGGGGGGCCUUUAAGCCGGCGGUAAAAUUUCGGGGCUCAACCCCGCAGAGCCGGUGGAACCGGGGGUCUUGAGUACAGGAGAGGUAGGCGGAAUGCGUGGGGUAGCGGUGAAAUGCAUAGAUAUCACGCAGAACUCCGAUUGCGAAGGCAGCAUACCGGAGCUCAACUGACGCUGAGGCACGAAAGCGUGGGGAUCGAACAGGAUUAGAUACCCCAGUAGUC